UCCUGGCUCAGAUUGAACGCUGGCGGCAGGCCUAACACAUGCAAGUCGAGCGGAUGAAGAGAGCUUGCUCUCUGAUUCAGCGGCGGACGGGUGAGUAAUGCCUAGGAAUCUGCCUGGUAGUGGGGGACAACGUCUCGAAAGGGACGCUAAUACCGCAUACGUCCUACGGGAGAAAGCAGGGGACCUUCGGGCCUUGCGCUAUCAGAUGAGCCUAGGUCGGAUUAGCUAGUUGGUGAGGUAAUGGCUCACCAAGGCGACGAUCCGUAACUGGUCUGAGAGGAUGAUCAGUCACACUGGAACUGAGACACGGUCCAGACUCCUACGGGAGGCAGCAGUGGGGAAUAUUGGACAAUGGGCGAAAGCCUGAUCCAGCCAUGCCGCGUGUGUGAAGAAGGUCUUCGGAUUGUAAAGCACUUUAAGUUGGGAGGAAGGGUUGUAAAUUAAUACUCUGCAAUUUUGACGUUACCGACAGAAUAAGCACCGGCUAACUCUGUGCCAGCAGCCGCGGUAAUACAGAGGGUGCAAGCGUUAAUCGGAAUUACUGGGCGUAAAGCGCGCGUAGGUGGUUUGUUAAGUUGGAUGUGAAAGCCCCGGGCUCAACCUGGGAACUGCAUUCAAAACUGACAAGCUAGAGUAUGGUAGAGGGUGGUGGAAUUUCCUGUGUAGCGGUGAAAUGCGUAGAUAUAGGAAGGAACACCAGUGGCGAAGGCGACCACCUGGACUNA
Molecule: ribosomal RNA, 725 nt
Filed under: Pseudomonas mohnii
Lineage: Bacteria; Pseudomonadati; Pseudomonadota; Gammaproteobacteria; Pseudomonadales; Pseudomonadaceae
Description: bacterial SSU rRNA
Rfam family: Bacterial small subunit ribosomal RNA
Source: RNAcentral